Molecule: ribosomal RNA, 254 nt
Filed under: uncultured bacterium
Lineage: Bacteria
Description: partial 16S ribosomal RNA
Rfam family: Bacterial small subunit ribosomal RNA
Source: RNAcentral
CACGGGUGAGUAACACGUAUCCAACCUGCCGUCUACUCUUGGACAGCCUUCUGAAAGGAAGAUUAAUACAAGAUGGCAUCAUGAGUCCGCAUGUUCACAUGAUUAAAGGUAUUCCGGUAGACGAUGGGGAUGCGUUCCAUUAGAUAGUAGGCGGGGUAACGGCCCACCUAGUCUUCGAUGGAUAGGGGUUCUGAGAGGAAGGUCCCCCACAUUGGAACUGAGGCACGGUCCAAACUCCUACGGGAGGCAGCAUG